UACAGAGGUCUCGAGCGUUGUUCGGAUUCAUUGGGCGUAAAGGGCGCGUAGGCGGCGGGGUAAGUCUGGUGUGAAAUCUCGGAGCUCAACUCCGAAAUUGCACUGGAUACUGCUCUGCUAGAGGGCUGGAGAGGAGAUCGGAAUUCACGGUGUAGCAGUGAAAUGCGUAGAUAUCGUGAGGAAGACCAGUGGCGAAGGCGGAUCUCUGGACAUUUCCUGACGCUGAGGCACGAAAGCCAGGGGAGCAAACGGG
This 253-nucleotide ribosomal RNA is filed under the name uncultured bacterium. RNAcentral describes it as "partial 16S ribosomal RNA". It matches the Rfam family "Bacterial small subunit ribosomal RNA", at positions 524 to 776 of the family's 1533-position model. The record is from RNAcentral.